Molecule: long non-coding RNA, 1531 nt
Filed under: Equus caballus (horse)
Lineage: Eukaryota; Metazoa; Chordata; Mammalia; Perissodactyla; Equidae
Description: lncRNA (ENSECAG00000051260.1)
Source: RNAcentral
CGUGCCGUCGGGUUACCGUUUAGUCGGGCACGUUCGUCUCGGCGCUCUUCCUCUGUGAGCUGAUCUGGCGUCCGGCGUGAUCCAGUAGAUCUGGCCUCUCCUCGCCUGCAGCAGGACGGAGGGGGAGCUGGCCCCAUACGUCUUAUCUCUAGCAAAGCCAGUGUGAACUGGCUCUGUCCAGGUGACUGUCCUCUUCUUCCUCCUCCUGAAAACUGUUUACAUUUUAAAGAGAGACAGUCUCCAGCCUGAGGAAAGCAGGCCAGGGAAGGCAGGGUGAGUGUGAGUGUGUGCACCGGCGCAUGUCGGGGGCUAGAGAGACAGGGAGAGAGAGAUGGCUGGGCAGCUUCUGAAAGAGGGUGAGGGAGGGCUUUCCCUGUUUCCUGAAAUCACCUCAGAUCCCAAUUCAGUUAGCACAUGGAGACACUUACUUUGCGCCGGGCACUUCGUUGCACACCGUCUUAGUGGAGCAAGCUCUGGGUUUGGAGCUGUGAGAUCCAGCUGGAAUUCUGGCUCUCUCCCCAUGAAUUUCUUCUUACAGUGGUACAUCUUGUUCAUGGCACUUACCACUAUGCAGUUAAAUGCUUGUAUAGUCAUUUUAUCCAGUCAGCACACAUUUAUAGAGUGCCCACUAUGUGCCAAUAAAGGAGCCCUUGCUGAGCUUGUAGUCAGACAGAGAAAAAGCAAUAAAUAUAAUAACUAAAUCCUAUCUGUUGGAAGGGGGCCAAUUGUAUAGGGCUUUGCAGACAUUUCAUGGACUUUGGCCUUAAUGUGAAAGAAAAGGGGAGCCAUUCGUGGGUUUUGAACAGCAAAUGGGCAUUUACUUUUCACAAGGAUAGUGCUGGCUGCUGUGUUGAGAAUAGACUGUAGGAGAUAAUUGAACAAAACAGAGGCCACAGUAGCGAUCCUGGUGAAGGGGCAUUCUCUCAGGCCAGGGGGUAGUGCUGGAGGUGGAGAGAAGCGGUCACAUUCUGAAUAUGUUUUCAAAAAUGGAAUAAAAAAGAUUCUUGUCUGAUUGUGGGAUGUAGAGAUCUCAAGGGAUCAAAGAUAACUCCAAGCAGCUGGAAGGAUAGAGUUGCCACGGACUGAGACCAGAAGACUGUGGAGAAAAGCUAUAGAAGAGCUUAAUUUUGGACGUAUUAAGUUUGAAGUGUCUACUGGGAAAACUAGUGGAGAGGGUGACUAGGCUCAUGUCUGGAGAGGGCUGGGCUGGAGAUAGAAAUGUGGGGUUGUCAGAAUACACCGAGGUGGCGCUGAAUGCUGGGAGGCUGGAGAGACCACCGAAAGAGUGAGUAGGGCAGGGAGUCUAGGCACUGAACCUGGGCUGCCAGUAUGCACAUCACAUCUGUUCCCUCUGCUCGGCUAUAAUUCCCAUGAUCCUCCCCUGUUCAGGGCUCCAUCCGCAGUGCCUGCCCAGAGAACAUCUAUUCAAUGAGUGGACCUAAUCUCUCUGCCUCUUCCUCUCAUCACAUGUAAAAUGAACAUACACAGGAUACCUACCUUAUAAGGUCAUUGUCAGGAAAAGUUAAAUGAG